GACGAACGCUGGCGGCGUGCUUAACACAUGCAAGUCGAACGGAAAGGCCCUGCUUUUGUGGGGUGCUCGAGUGGCGAACGGGUGAGUAACACGUGAGUAACCUGCCCUUGACUUUGGGAUAACUUCAGGAAACUGGGGCUAAUAUCGGAUAGUAGCUCCUGCUGCAUGGUGGGGGUUGGAAAGUUUCGGCGGUUGGGGAUGGACUCGCGGCUUAUCAGCUUGUUGGUGGGGUAGUGGCUUACCAAGGCUUUGACGGGUAGCCGGCCUGAGAGGGUGACCGGCCACAUUGGGACUGAGAUACGGCCCAGACUCCUACGGGAGGCAGCAGUGGGGAAUAUUGCACAAUGGGCGGAAGCCUGAUGCAGCAACGCCGCGUGCGGGAUGACGGCCUUCGGGUUGUAAACCGCUUUCGCCUGUGACGAAGCGAGAGUGACGGUAAUGGGUAAAGAAGCACCGGCUAACUACGUG
This 468-nucleotide ribosomal RNA is filed under the name uncultured bacterium. Its description in RNAcentral is "partial 16S ribosomal RNA". It matches the Rfam family "Bacterial small subunit ribosomal RNA", at positions 28 to 507 of the family's 1533-position model. The record is from RNAcentral.